AUUUAAUAAGGAUAGUGAGAAGUUAUGGUCUGGUUGAAAACGAUAAAAAAAAGGAAAUGGGAAAUUUUGUCGUCGUAUCUGGACAAUGGAUUGACAAGAUCGGUCGGGAGCAGAGACUCAGCUCAGAGAGUCAGUCACCACUGGUCUCGGGCCUUGUCAGUCGCCACAGAUCAGUUUUCACUGCUCACUUCAGUGCUCGUCGACGAUAGCCUAAUCUCUCGAAACUCCGCGUCGAGACGGGUGCGCCGCCAUGUUUUCAGUUUGAGUCUCGCCCCGGCCCGUUCGCGUCUCUCGCCCGUCCUUACUCCUCGAAAGUUUUCGACGACAAAUGACAAAUCGGCCGACAUCUCGAUAGAAGAAUGGUCCAUCCAAUUUUAAUAAGGACGAAAUUGAAGGAGCUCGUAGAUUUCGGCCCGGCUAGAUGAAGAAAUACGUGAGAAAAUGAAUUUGAUAUGAGUGAAACACAUUCUGGCUUGGUCAAGCCACUUCUUCAAAAGCCCCCAACAGUAGGAGCUCAAUUGCUCCCCUUGGUUCCUGCCCCAACCACCCAACAGGGUGCACCAGCGAUGACACGGUUGGGGACAGUGAACCAAGGGGGGUGGAUUCCGGUGAGAUCGGCGUCAAACAACGGAGGAGGAGACUCGUCCAUGAUGUCAGCGCUGCUGAAUCAGGCCAACUCCCACCCAAAUUUGACUAACACGCUAACCUCGCCCAACUCUAGAAAGCGCAAAACGACCACAGAUGACCUGGUCGCAUUGCGCAGAAAGGUGGCUGAAAAUCACAGUUUACAGUUGAAGAGGCUGCAGAGCCGCUAUGCCGAAAACUCAGCUUUGUUGUGUUUCCUUCAAGGCAAUUUCAGUAUCAAUGAAUAUGCCAUUUGGAGGCAGAGACUUCCACCGGGGCAGUUAAUAAAUUUCCUUAAAUUGAAUAAGUUAAACCCUUCUGACGAAAAUGAAGAUUUGUUCGAAAUUUUACAAUCACAAAUAAAAUCCUCAAAUCAGCUUUCUCAUUCCCCUCCCAAGGCUAAUCAACUAGAUCAAAAGUUUAUUUUGCCUGAUAAAAGUUCAAGUUCUACUGCAAUUUCUAAAACUUCAACUCCUACAAAGAGCACUAGUCAUGGAAGCCUGCCUGAAAAUUCAAUUUCAAGUCAGGAGCAAAUUGUUGAGCGCGCCAAACAGGAGGCGUACGUUAUGCAGAGGAUAGGCGAAUUGCAAAAGGACGGUCUGUGGGCUGAGAAACGGUUGCCAAAAGUGCACGAACUCUCAAGGACAAAAGCCCAUUGGGAUUAUCUUAUCGAGGAGAUGACUUGGCUCGCUGCUGAUUUCGCACAAGAAAGAAAAUGGAAAAAAGCAGCUGCAAAAAAGUGUGCAAAAAUGGUGCAGAAAUAUUUCCAAGAGAAAGAGGUUCUUGCCCAAAAGGCUGUAAAAGCUCAGGAAAUGCAGUUGAAGAGAAUAGCUAGUUUUAUAGCUAAGGAAAUUAAAACGUUUUGGGGAAAUGUGGAAAAGUUAGUGGAAUUUAAAACCCAAACAAGGCUUGAGGAGAAAAGGAAAAAAGCACUGGAUCAACAUCUCAGUUUCAUCGUUGACCAAACUGAGAAAUAUUCCAGUUUGGUAGCUGAAUCUAUGAACACUUCUAGGCCAACGUCACCAAAGCAUCAUUCAGACAUGGAAUUUGAGCCUGAAGGGUCUUCUGAUGAUGAUGAAGAGACCAUCGCUAAAGAAGAAGCUCUGUCGGCCAUUGACAAAGAAUCUGCAAUAGAAGAGAUUGAUGCUUUGAAACGUGAGAGCGAACUUCCUCUUGAAGAUCUUCUUUCUGAUUAUUUAUCAAAGCGUGACUCCCUUGGUUCACCGACUUCAUCUAAGUACGAUGAUGAAGAAGAUGAUGAAGAUGAGAAAGACAUAAAAUCAUUGUCUGACAAUGAUUUUAGGGCCUCUGAUAAAGACUCAAGUGAUGAUGAAGAGACUAUUCAAGAAGAAGAAAAACUGGAGGGAAAGGUCAACUAUAAACAGGAAAUCGACGAGCUCAAGGCUGAGGGUGAUAUGAGCUUGGAAGAGUUAAAGGCAAAGUAUGGAGUCCAGGAAGACAAAAUGAACAGCUCACAAGAUGAAAAGAUGGAUCUAGAUGAAGAUUCAGAUGAUAUGGAUGAGGAUGAAAAUGAAUCUGAAGAGGUUGAUAUCGAAGACGACGAAGAUAUUGAGGAGGACCUGAGUGGAGAUAGUGAGCUGGAAGAAGAAUCAGGUCUGAAAUCUCUUCUGAACGAUGGUGUAAAUAUUGAUCAGAAAUCAUCCACUGAUAAGGACAAGGAAAUUAAUGAUGUUGCUGCAAUUGCUGAGAGUCUUCAGCCUAAAGGAAAUACUUUAUCUUCAACUAGCGUUGUCACGAGGAUUCCAUUUUUAUUAAAACACCCACUUCGUGAGUAUCAACACAUAGGUCUGGAUUGGCUGGUAACCAUGUACGAACGUAAAUUAAACGGGAUCCUUGCUGAUGAAAUGGGCUUAGGAAAGACCAUACAGACCAUAGCGCUAAUUGCCCACUUGGCAUGCGAAAAAGGCAAUUGGGGUCCUCAUUUAAUAGUUGUACCUACGUCUGUCAUGCUCAACUGGGAAAUGGAAUUCAAAAAGUGGUGCCCUGCUUUUAAAAUCCUCACAUAUUACGGUUCACAAAAAGAGAGAAAAUUAAAAAGAUCUGGCUGGACGAAAACAAAUGCUUUUCAUAUUUGUAUUACUUCUUAUAAACUAGUCAUUCAAGACCAUCAGAGUUUUAGAAGAAAAAAAUGGAAAUACCUGAUUUUAGAUGAGGCUCAGAAUAUCAAAAAUUUCAAAUCACAGCGGUGGCAGCUUCUUCUCAAUUUUCAAACGCAGAGGCGGUUACUCCUCACAGGAACACCCCUUCAGAACAACCUUAUGGAAUUGUGGUCGUUGAUGCACUUCCUCAUGCCGAAUGUCUUCGAGUCGCACCGAGAGUUCAAAGAAUGGUUUUCAAAUCCUGUAACCGGUAUGAUAGAAGGAAAUGCUGAAUAUAAUGAGAAUAUAAUAAAACGAUUACACAAGGUUCUAAGGCCAUUCUUGCUUCGAAGGUUGAAAUCUGAAGUUGAAACCCAAAUGCCAAAGAAAUAUGAGCACAUUGUAAUGUGCAGAUUGUCAAACAGACAGCGUUAUCUGUAUGAUGACUUCAUGUCUAGAGCAAAGACAAAAGAAACGCUGGCAUCAGGAAACUUACUGAGCGUCAUAAAUGUUCUUAUGCAACUGAGAAAAGUUUGCAACCAUCCAAAUCUUUUUGAAGUUCGUCCUACCAUUUCUCCAUUUCAAAUGGAGGGAUUGAAUGUCCCAAUACCUUCUCUUGUAUGGGGAGCUCUAGAUUACCGGCCUACAAAGGAUGUAGAUCUGUCUGCUUUAAAUCUGCGAUUGAUUGAUUAUGAACUCUGGCUACUUGCUUUUAUCGCUCACAGGUCUAGGAAGUUCAAAACCCGUUCAGAACUCAUUCAGGGGAUUGAUGAAGCGCCUCCAGAUCCUCCACCCUGUCCAAAGGGUAGAGUUAAAAUUCAAAUAAAGAGAAAGCCAUACCCUCCUCCCACUAUAGUAGCAGCAGCCACAGCACAAACGCAAAACAAAACCACUUUUGUACAAGUGGCUUCGACAGGCAAUAACCAUAGGUACAUAGCAUCUCUCCCAGCAACAAAAGUAGGAACUUCCCCGAUAAUCAAAUCAAUUGUGGGCUCAGGAAAUCAAGGUGUGACGUUAAGGUUUGCUAAUCCAACAAGUCAGCAGCCACAGUACGUCCAAUUACUUCAGCAGCCUGGAGGAGGUGUAAAAGCAAUUUCAGUUGCUUCCUUAACAAGUACUGGCCAGGUUGUGAAAACGACUGACGGUACAACUGGUACAAUGGCGAGAAUUGUACCUCAGUUCACUUGCAUAAAUACAGCGGGUGGAAGACAGCUUUUACUUUCGUCACCUCAGGUCAUACCUUCACAAGCAGGAGGGACAACAGUUAUGACGGCAAGCGGUCAGAGGCUGACUGUGCUUUCGAAACAAGGCACCAAUAUUGCUAAAUUAGUAAGCCCGACAGUAACACAAAUAAACAGUGCAAGGCCUAUCAUGAGGGUUCCUCCUUUGAACAUCACUACUGCCACUACUACAACUGUUCAAAAUUGUAUAACUAUAGCGUCCAACAAUGUAACUGCAACGUCAACAGUGGAUGCAACAGUGUCUGCUGUACAGACGUCGACCUUAAAUUCUAUCACCCCAACCACAGUUAAAAAUAUGACUACUCGGAACAGCUCUAAAACAAAAGAAAUUGACGAACCACCAUCUUUGGGAUUAAAAGAUGAUAUACUCACUGAAAGGAGGAGAAGGAGAAGACAAGAAAAACUAACCCUUAUAAGCAGAGUUAAUGAGAUGAGGUGUAACGCUUUACCAAUAUACGGUGUGGAUUUAAUCGAAUCUUUGUCACUUCAAGACAAACUUACCAAAGAAACAAACUGGUUGUGCACUGGUUAUAUUCAUUGCAAACAAGCGAAAUCACCAGAUCCAAGUUUGUACUGGAAUAAGACAGAAGCUCUUCAAAACAUGAUAUAUAGCAUUGAAGAAAGGGUUGCUAACCUGUCUGAUAUAUUCAACCGUUUUGUCAUGUUUGUACCCGCUGCGAGUGCACCAAGGCCGUCUGCGCACGUCUCGCAUCCAGCGCCUUGGAAAUUGCACAGAGAACAACAAAUGGAGAUAGCACUCGAGGAACACUUAAAACCCAAACUCAGGCUGCUCCACCCGAUUGCAUCUGCUAUGUCCACACUUUUCCCUGAUCCACGGUUGAUACAGUACGAUUGUGGCAAACUUCAGUCUCUAGAUCAUUUGCUUAGGAAAUUAAAAUCAGAACAUCACAGAGUAUUAAUUUUCACUCAAAUGACCAGGAUGCUGGAUGUUCUUGAAGCAUUUUUGAAUUUCCAUGGGCAUAUCUACCUUCGCCUUGAUGGCACAACAAAAGUGGAUCAACGACAGGUUUUAAUGGAGAGAUUUAAUGCUGACAAAAGAAUAUUUUGCUUUAUUCUUUCAACUCGUUCGGGAGGAGUAGGUAUCAAUCUCACAGGUGCUGAUACUGUCAUAUUUUAUGAUAGCGAUUGGAAUCCGACAAUGGAUGCCCAAGCUCAAGACAGAUGCCACAGAAUUGGACAGACGAGGGAUGUUCACAUAUACCGGUUGGUUAGUGAAAAGACUGUUGAAGAAAAUAUACUAAAAAAAGCGAAUCAGAAAAGAAUGCUGGGCGAUUUGGCAAUUGAAGGAGGAAAUUUCACAACAGCUUAUUUUAAGAGUUCAACAAUUCAAGAUCUGUUUAAUGUUGACACAACAGAAAAUGAUGCUUCACGGCGCAUGGCUGAUGUUCUGCAGAAAGAAAGUGAAAAAAAAUUGACAGCUUUAGAGCCCGCUUCUGUGACCAACCCAGAAGACAAGACUGCCCUAGGAGCUCUUGAAAGUGCAUUGGCACAAGCUGAAGAUGAUACAGAUGUUGCAGCAGCAUCAGUAGCCAAAGCUGAAGCAGCGGAUGAACUGGCAGAAUUUGAUGAAACCAUUCCAUUGGAGCAGCCAGAAGGUCCAGAACUGAGUAAAGCAGAAAUGGAACUGAAUCUUCUCAUGCAACAAUUGUCCGGUGUCGAAAGGUACGCCAUGAAGUUUAUGGAAGAGACGGAAGCAGUCUGGUCGGCCGAACAGUUGGCAGCAGUUGAGGCAGAAAUUGAACAGCAGAAGCGUGAAUGGGAGCAGGGAAGAUUGGCGGCUUUUAACGAAGAAGAAUCUCAAAAGAAGAGACAAGCAGAGGCAGAAAUGGAGGACAUUAUAACUUACUCAUCCACGGAUGCUAGAAAUCAGCUUUGGAUUUCGGAUGAUGGAAAAGAUUUGAUGCCGAUGUGGUGCCCGCCCACGCCACCUCAAGACGAUAGCGAUGUUUACAUUGACCAAGCAUUGGGCCUGCUCUAUGAGCAAAAAGUAAUGACCGAAGAACAACUUCCACCUGUGUUUGUAAAGAAAGAAAAGAAACGAACCCGUAUUGAAGCAGGCCUCCCAGAAGGUGGAAGGGUACAAGUAAAGAUGCGACAAAGGGAGGAGACAUUGUUGCACGCACCCAGGUCUCUAUUUGACCGCCCGACCCCAGCUUUGAUCAAAAUGCGCCAGGAGCUUCGUCUUCAAAAGUGCAGAGGAUUAAUUAGACCUUCAAUCCAAAACUUGAUGAAGCCUCAGCUACCUGUGAAGCCCCUUCCUGAACCUGAUCAUGUCCCAGAGUGGGUCAUACAAGAGGACUGGACUAUUCUUCAAGCGAUACAAAACAUCCAAGAAUUAACUUUGAAUUUAGUCGUCCUCUCUCCUGGACAGACUCCUAAUUGGGAUUUGGUAGCAGAUAUUGUGAACCUCACGGCUAGAACGUACCGUUCCCCUAAACAAUGUAGAAACAGAUAUGAAUCUGUUGUGAUACCGAGAGAGGAGGGGAAGUUGGUUCUUGAUAGCCCUAAGAAACAGAAAAAGACGAAAACAUUGUACAAAAUACCACAGAUAAAAGCAGGAAGACCUUUAAGGACAUCACAGUUGUACCAGCAGGACAACAACACUUCGAUGACCCAAGUGAUGAAUACAAGAUUCGAUGCAAUUCGUGCUGUGUCAAACAAGAGAGCCCCUACAAUCAAACCACUCCUUGUAGACCCUACAAUGAAAAAUCCGAAGCAUGCAGAGAUAUUGGCUGAGAACGCUAUUGACUAUGAAAAGCCCAUGACACCGAUUGAAGUUGCAGCGAAGCGAGCUGAUAGAAUUGCUAAGGAAAAGCAAGCCUUUGUCAAACAAGGCAUGGCUGUUCCUGAGCAGCAGCUAGCAGUCUUGCGACUUAAGCAACAACUUCAAAGCAGCAGCCCAAAAACAACAGUUGCAACUACAACUGUGACGACUACAACGAUUACUGCUCAAACCACAACUUCACCACCCACAAGAACUAUUGCUGUUCAGGAGUUGACAACAACAGGCAGAGUGGUUGCAAGUUCACCCACCCAGAGUACUAUAGUCGCACAAAGAUCGCCUUCAACAAACAUUAUCUCUGCCCAAUCGUCCCCAACUGUGACUACUGUAAAAGGUUCGACGAAGACUAUCAGUGCAGCCCAGUUGCAGAUUUACCGACAGCAGCAACUGCAGUUUAGGCAGCAGAACCUUCGCGUGCUCCAAUCGAGAGGAGGUGGUACUGCUGGACAGAAGAUUUCCGUAGCAGUUCCUACAGGCACUACUACACAACGGAUGCCUCAAGUCAAAGCAGCAGGAGUCACAAGAACAGUGUCAGAAUCUGAAGUUGUCGCUCUUUUUAAAAGGCAACAAGCUGCAAAAGUUUCAACGGCCACUACGCUGACUUCAGCACAAAUCUUAGCACAAGCUAGUUUGCAGGCCCAACAGUCUGGCAGUACAGGAGUAGGACAAGUUACAACAUUGGUCAAAACUAUUCCUGCCUCUUCUAUACCAGUGGGUGGACUUACUCAGAUGAAAGCUCUUGGCACUAAUAUUAAACAAGGAACUGUGACUCCACAACAAAUCAAGUCUAUACAGCAGCAGCUAAUGGCACAACGAAAAUUAGCCCAACAGAAAGUCACACAAAUUGGACAGGUAACCUCUAAGGCUGGAACAACUGCUCAGCUCAUUGUUCAAUCACAAAAGACAGUCCCAACUACAAUGACAAUGCAGCAAUUCCAGCAAGCGAUCAAACAAGUUCAACCCCAGCAUGUUCAGGUAGCACAAGGAAGCUCACCCCAAGUGAUAUCACAUUCUGUGUUUACUAAAACGCAAGGUGGAUCUCCUGCUAGGGUGAUUCCUGUUGCCACAAGCUCCCAGCAGCCUAUCAAGCAUGCAAUUCAGGGUAGGCUAACUGCAUCCAAUGAUGUGCAAAAGGGUGUGAACAGGGGCCGCUUCACUUCGAAAUGUCAAAAGGACUCUAACUCGAGAUGUUAAUACAAGAUAAGAAAAAUUGAAUUUGUUCGAGAAAACCAUAAAUGUGUAGUAAGCGGUAAUUCUAGCAGUCCAGGAAGGUCAGUGACAAUAGAUGCUUCAGGGAGGACAACUCAAACGGCUUUAGCAGGAGCUCUCAAGACAGGAUCGGCAUCUCAACAAGCCAUUCUAACUCAGGUGUCAGCAGCAGUAAUUCAACCGGGACAUCAGAUUACUAUGAGACAACCUGUACGAAUACAAGCAGCUACAGCACCACUUGUCGCAGUUGCCGUUUC
RNAcentral lists this unclassified non-coding RNA (8233 nucleotides) under Cimex lectularius (bed bug). Its description in RNAcentral is "helicase domino, transcript variant X4". The record is from RNAcentral. Lineage: Eukaryota; Metazoa; Arthropoda; Insecta; Hemiptera; Cimicidae.